RNAcentral lists this ribosomal RNA (892 nucleotides) under uncultured organism. RNAcentral describes it as "bacterial SSU rRNA". It matches the Rfam family "Bacterial small subunit ribosomal RNA", at positions 540 to 1429 of the family's 1533-position model. The record is from RNAcentral.
GUUGUCCGGAUUUACUGGGGUUUAAAGGGAUCCGUAGGCGGGAGAAUUAGUCGGCGAUGAAAUCAGGUGGCUCAACCAUCUGGCUGUUGCCGAAACUGUUCUUCUUGAACUAGAUUGAGGUGGCUGGAAUAGGCAGUGUAGCGGUGAAAUGCGUAGAGAUUGCCUAGAACACCGAUUGCGAAGGCAGGUCACUAAGUCUAAAUUGACGCUGAUGGAUGAAAGCGUGGGGAGCGAACAGGAUUAGAUACCCUGGUAGUCCACGCCGUAAACGAUGGAUACUCGCUGCUCGAACACUUGAGUUCGAGUGGCUGCGAGAAAUCAUUAAGUAUCCCACCUGGGGAGUACGCCCGCAAGGGUGAAACUCAAAGGAAUUGACGGGGGCCCGCACAAGUGGUGGAGCAUGUGGUUUAAUUCGAUGAUACGCGAGGAACCUUACCUGGGCUCGAAUGGUACCGGAAGGUCCCCGAAACGGGACUGUUUCUUCGGAACCGGUAUCAAGGUGCUGCAUGGUUGUCGUCAGCUCGUGCCGUGAGGUGUUGGGUUAAGUCCCGCAACGAGCGCAACCCCUAUGGUUAGUUGCCAGCAGGUUAAGCUGGGGACUCUAGCCAGACUGCCCGUGCAAGCGGAGAGGAAGGCGGGGACGACGUCAAAUCAUCAUGGCCCUUACGCCCAGGGCGACACACGUGCUACAAUGGACGGUACAGCAGGCAGCGACCCCGCGAGGGCAAGCAAAUCCGCAAAAGCCGUUCUCAGUUCGGAUCGUAGUCUGCAACUCGACUGCGUGAAGCCGGAAUCACUAGUAAUCGCGCAUCAGCCAUGGCGCGGUGAAUACGUUCCCGGGCCUUGUACACACCGCCCGUCAAGCCACGGAAGCUGGGGGUGCCUGAAGUUG